This 1370-nucleotide ribosomal RNA is filed under the name uncultured bacterium. RNAcentral describes it as "bacterial SSU rRNA". It matches the Rfam family "Bacterial small subunit ribosomal RNA", at positions 28 to 1381 of the family's 1533-position model. The record is from RNAcentral.
GACGAACGCUGGCGGCGUGCCUAAUACAUGCAAGUAGAACGCUGAAGAGAGGAGCUUGCUCUUCUUGGAUGAGUUGCGAACGGGUGAGUAACGCGUAGGUAACCUGCCUUGUAGCGGGGGAUAACUAUUGGAAACGAUAGCUAAUACCGCAUAACAAUGGAUGACACAUGUCAUUUAUUUGAAAGGGGCAAUUGCUCCACUACAAGAUGGACCUGCGUUGUAUUAGCUAGUAGGUGAGGUAACGGCUCACCUAGGCGACGAUACAUAGCCGACCUGAGAGGGUGAUCGGCCACACUGGGACUGAGACACGGCCCAGACUCCUACGGGAGGCAGCAGUAGGGAAUCUUCGGCAAUGGGGGCGACCCUGACCGAGCAACGCCGCGUGAGUGAAGAAGGUUUUCGGAUCGUAAAGCUCUGUUGUAAGUCAAGAACGAGUGUGAGAGUGGAAAGUUCACACUGUGACGGUAGCUUACCAGAAAGGGACGGCUAACUACGUGCCAGCAGCCGCGGUAAUACGUAGGUCCCGAGCGUUGUCCGGAUUUAUUGGGCGUAAAGCGAGCGCAGGGCGGUUUGAUAAGUCUGAAGUUAAAGGCUGUGGCUCAACCAUAGUUCGCUUUGGAAACUGUCAAACUUGAGUGCAGAAGGGGAGAGUGGAAUUCCAUGUGUAGCGGUGAAAUGCGUAGAUAUAUGGAGGAACACCGGUGGCGAAAGCGGCUCUCUGGUCUGUAACUGACGCUGAGGCUCGAAAGCGUGGGGAGCGAACAGGAUUAGAUACCCUGGUAGUCCACGCCGUAAACGAUGAGUGCUAGGUGUUGGAUCCUUUCCGGGAUUCAGUGCCGCAGCUAACGCAUUAAGCACUCCGCCUGGGGAGUACGACCGCAAGGUUGAAACUCAAAGGAAUUGACGGGGGCCCGCACAAGCGGUGGAGCAUGUGGUUUAAUUCGAAGCAACGCGAAGAACCUUACCAGGUCUUGACAUCCCGAUGCUAUUUCUAGAGAUAGAAAGUUACUUCGGUACAUCGGUGACAGGUGGUGCAUGGUUGUCGUCAGCUCGUGUCGUGAGAUGUUGGGUUAAGUCCCGCAACGAGCGCAACCCCUAUUGUUAGUUGCCAUCAUUCAGUUGGGCACUCUAGCGAGACUGCCGGUAAUAAACCGGAGGAAGGUGGGGAUGACGUCAAAUCAUCAUGCCCCUUAUGACCUGGGCUACACACGUGCUACAAUGGUUGGUACAACGAGUUGCGAGUCGGUGACGGCAAGCUAAUCUCUUAAAGCCAAUCUCAGUUCGGAUUGUAGGCUGCAACUCGCCUACAUGAAGUCGGAAUCGCUAGUAAUCGCGGAUCAGCACGCCGCGGUGAAUACGUUCCCGGGCCU